AUUGAACGCUGGCGGCAUGCCUUACACAUGCAAGUCGAACGGCAGCACGGGUGCUUGCACCUGGUGGCGAGUGGCGAACGGGUGAGUAAUACAUCGGAACAUGUCCUGUAGUGGGGGAUAGCCCGGCGAAAGCCGGAUUAAUACCGCAUACGAUCUACGGAUGAAAGCGGGGGACCUUCGGGCCUCGCGCUAUAGGGUUGGCCGAUGGCUGAUUAGCUAGUUGGUGGGGUAAGGGCCUACCAAGGCGACGGUCAGUAGCUGGUCUGAGAGGAGGACCAGCCACACUGGGACUAGAACACGGCCCAGACUCCGACGGGAGGCAGCAGUGGGGAAUUUUGGACAAUGGGCGAAAGCCUGAUCCAGCAAUGCCGCGUGUGUGAAGAAGGCCUUCGGGUUGUAAAGCACUUUUGUCCGGAAAGAAAUCCUUGGCCCUAAUACGGUCGGGGGAUGACGGUACCGGAAGAAUAAGCACCGGCUAACUACGUG
RNAcentral lists this ribosomal RNA (486 nucleotides) under uncultured bacterium. Its description in RNAcentral is "partial 16S ribosomal RNA". It matches the Rfam family "Bacterial small subunit ribosomal RNA", at positions 29 to 507 of the family's 1533-position model. The record is from RNAcentral.